RNAcentral lists this ribosomal RNA (1502 nucleotides) under metagenome. Its description in RNAcentral is "bacterial LSU rRNA". It matches the Rfam family "Bacterial large subunit ribosomal RNA", at positions 1277 to 2910 of the family's 2925-position model. The record is from RNAcentral.
AGAGAUCAGAAGCGAGAAUGUUGACAUGAGUAGCGACAAAGAGGGUGAGAGACCCUCUCGCCGAAAGUCCAAGGGUUCCUGCUUAAAGCUAAUCUGAGCAGGGUGAGCCGGCCCCUAAGGCGAGGCCGAAAGGCGUAGUCGAUGGGAACUAGGUUAAUAUUCCUAGGCCAGUGGGAAGUGACGGAUCUCGAAGGUUGUCUGCCCUUAUCGGAUUGGGUGGGCCGCUUAGAGGUUCCUGGAAGUAGCCCCACAUCAGACCGUACCCUAAACCGACACAGGUGGACUGGUAGAGUAUACCAAGGCGCUUGAGAGAACCACGUUAAAGGAACUCGGCAAAAUGCCUCCGUAAGUUCGCGAGAAGGAGGCCCCAUCAGUAGGCAACUAUUGGUGGGGGGCACAAACUAGGGGGUGGCGACUGUUUACUUAAAACACAGGGCUGUGCGAAGCCGUAAGGCGACGUAUACAGUCUGACGCCUGCCCGGUGCUGGAAGAUUAAGAGGAGGGGUGCAAGCUCUGAAUUGAAGUCCCAGUAAACGGCGGCCGUAACAAUAACGGUCCUAAGGUAGCGAAAUUCCUCGGGUAAGUUCCGACCUGCACGAAUGGCGUAACGAUCUCCCCGCUGUCUCUAACGUGGACUCAGCGAAAUUGAACUGUGUGUCAAGAUGCACACUUCCCGCGGUUAGACGGAAAGACCCCAUGCACCUUUACUCUAGCUUUGCACUGGCAUCAGGAUUGUGAUGUGCAGGAUAGGUGGUAGGCAUUGAAGCGGGGACGCCAGUCUUCGUGGAGCCUCCCUUGAGAUACCACCCUUCGCACUCUUGAUGUCUAACCGCGGCCCGUUAUCCGGGUCCGGGACCCUGCAUGGUGGGGAGUUUGACUGGGGCGGUCGCCUCCUAAACAGUAACGGAGGCGCGCGAUGGUUGGCUCAGACCGGUCGGAAAUCGGUCGUUGAGUGCAAUGGCAGACGCCAGCCUGACUGCAAGUCUGACAAGACGAGCAGAGACGAAAGUCGGUCAUAGUGACCCGGUGGUCCCAAGUGGGAGGGCCAUCGCUCAACGGAUAAAAGGUACGCUGGGGAUAACAGGCUGAUGAUGCCCAAGAGUCCAUAUCGACGGCAUCGUUUGGCACCUCGAUGUCGGCUCAUCUCAUCCUGGGGCUGGAGCAGGUCCCAAGGGUAUGGCUGUUCGCCAUCUAAAGAGGUACGUGAGCUGGGCUUAGAACAUCGUGAGACAGUUCGGUCCCUAUCUGCCGUGGGUGUAGGAGACUUGAGAAGAGUUGCCCCUAGUACGAGAGGACCGGGGUGAACGAACCACUGGUGGACCAGUUAUCGUGCCAACGGUAGUGCUGGGUAGCUAUGUUCGGACAGGAUAAACGCUGAAGGCAUCUAAGCGUGAAGCCCCCUUCAAAACAAGGUCUCCCUUGAGAGCCGUGGAAGACCACCACGUCGAUAGGCCGGAGGUGUAAGUGCAGCAAUGCAUUCAGCUGACCGUUACUAAUUGCUC